This 764-nucleotide long non-coding RNA is filed under the name Trifolium pratense (red clover). Its description in RNAcentral is "long non-coding RNA (TPRA_LNC002234)". Lineage: Eukaryota; Viridiplantae; Streptophyta; Magnoliopsida; Fabales; Fabaceae. The record is from RNAcentral.
UUUUUUCUCCGCUUAUUUCCACUUCUCUUCUCUCAAACACAAAUUGUGAAUUUUUUUGUCUUCAUCCGUCAAACUCAGUUCACCGUUGUUACUCCCCCAAUAUCUCAAACCGGGUCUCGGCCAUCCUCUCCGAGAACCACGUCUCUGUCUCAUACGGUGACGACGGUUACUCUCCUUCUUGCUUCUCAACAAGGGUUAGUUUCGUUCUUCCUUUUGCUCAAAUUAUCCAUGUUCCCAAUAUUUUUCAUACCCAUUACUUUGGCUGAUAUAGUGUAUCUUGGGAUGAGAUGAUUGUUAUAUUUGGGUUCAGCUUAAGCUGAGUAAAUUUCAUGUUAAGUAUAUUUAGGUUUACCAUUCUUGACUGUUAAGGCACUGUUAAGGCUUUUGUUUUAUGUAAUUUGCAUGCCAUGUGUUUGAAGAAAUGCGUGUGUUAAGGUUUGUUGAAUAUAUGUGGGUUUAUAUGUUGGAAUUAACUUAAUAUUACAAGACAUGAUCAAAUAUUAAAUGAUUGAAACCAUAAUCAUACUUUAUUGCGGAAGCAAAACAAUCAAACGAGCAUGUUCAUAAAUCAGGAUCUACGACAUGUUGAUUUAUCAAGGGAUUAUAGGAAUACACGAAUCCACAAAUGAACUGACCUGAAACACAAAUUAGCAGAAUCGGAUGACGAGCACCCGUUGGCUUGUGGUUCUUCCUCAACCAGGACUCCUUAUGCCCUAAGCGCUCUUCAGAUGGGGAGAAAAGGCAAUAUGCUUUGUGUCCGGUAU